This 303-nucleotide unclassified non-coding RNA is filed under the name Hevea brasiliensis (rubber tree). The record is from RNAcentral. Lineage: Eukaryota; Viridiplantae; Streptophyta; Magnoliopsida; Malpighiales; Euphorbiaceae.
AGAAAAUUUGCAAUACAAGCUUUGAGAAUUUUGGUGAGCCUUCUGGUGAGUUGCAGUUCUUAAGAAGCUUGCAUUUGACAGCAAGGAAACUGGAAAUCUGUGAAAGUUCCCCAAAAGAGAUUUUCUAAGUGUACCAACUAGACUAACUUUAUUUGGUCAAUUUCGCCAUUAAUGUAAUACUAACAUUUAUGAGAUGUGUCAGUUGGGAAUAUACAGCCAAAGGUUUUUGUUUAUUUAUUUUCUUAUCAUUUGGCUUUUGCAGUGUGGCGGUUCAGUUCUCUAAUUCAUGAGUCUCUUCCUCCG